This 468-nucleotide ribosomal RNA is filed under the name uncultured bacterium. Its description in RNAcentral is "partial 16S ribosomal RNA". It matches the Rfam family "Bacterial small subunit ribosomal RNA", at positions 28 to 507 of the family's 1533-position model. The record is from RNAcentral.
GACGAACGCUGGCGGCGUGCUUAACACAUGCAAGUCGAACGGAAAGGCCCUGCUUUUGUGGGGUGCUCGAGUGGCGAACGGGUGAGUAACACGUGAGUAACCUGCCCUUGACUUUGGGAUAACUUCAGGAAACUGGGGCUAAUACCGGAUAGGAGCUCCUGCUGCAUGGUGGGGGUUGGAAAGUUUCGGCGGUUGGGGAUGGACUCGCGGCUUAUCAGCUUGUUGGUGGGGUAGUGGCUUACCAAGGUUUUGACGGGUAGCCGGCCUGAGAGGGUGACCGGCGACAUGGGGACUGAGAGACGGCCCAGACUCCUACGGGAGGCAGAAGUGGGGAAUAUUGCACAAUGGGCGGAAGCCUGAUGCAGCAACGCCGCGUGCGGGAUGACGGCCUUCGGGUUGUAAACCGCUUUCGCCUGUGACGAAGCGUGAGUGACGGUAAUGGGUAAAGAAGCACCGGCUAACUACGUG